AAUCAUUUAUAUAACUAUUGAAGUAAAUGUAUAUGUCUGUUUUCGUAAUACGUGAAGUCUUGCUUGAGAAUGCUCCGGGCACCUAACUGUAGAAGGUAGAAUGGAAAUUGAAACUACAAAAUCCUAACUAUAAUAUAAUAAUAACUAAAUUCUAAUUAGAUCAUAAUAAUGCUAAGAAAGCCUUAAUCAAAUUCAAAGAAACCUCAAAGAAAUUUCAAAGAAAUAAUAAGAAAUCUUAAAAAAAUAUUAGAAUAAUCUCAAAUAUCUCUCAAAUAUAUUUCAAUUCAAUCUUAAUUUAAUUCUAAUUAAAAUCCUAUUGGACUUCAUUGAAAUUUUAGGCCAAAAUUAAUUUAAUCUUAAAUUCUAAAUAAAUCCUAAUAAAAUCCUAAACCCUAAACCAAACCUUAAUCAAAUUAUAAAUCAAACUCUAUCCAAAUUCUUAACAAAUCCUAAAUCAAAUCCUAAAUCCUAAAUCAAAUCCUAAAUCUUAAACUAAAUCCUAAAUCCUAAAAUAAAUCCUAAUCAAAUUCUAAAUCAAAUCCUAACCAAAUCUUAACCAAAUCUUAAACCCUAAAUAAAUCUUAACCAAAUCCUAAAUCCUAAAUCAAAUCCUAAACAAAUUUUAAACCAAAUCCCAACCAAAUCCUAAAUAAAAUCCUAACCAAACUCUAAACCCUAAACCAAAUCCUAACCAAAUCCUAAACCUUAAACCAAACCUCAACCAAAUCCUAGUAAUUCCCACAACUGAUUCAAACCAUAAUAAUUAAUGAAUGAACUGUUGAUCUUAACUUAAAGUUUGCAUACUUUUUAAAAACUAAGUUGAAAACAAGCACAAAAAAUUUGAAAAAGAU
RNAcentral lists this long non-coding RNA (851 nucleotides) under Physcomitrium patens. RNAcentral describes it as "long non-coding RNA (PPAT_LNC006395)". The record is from RNAcentral. Lineage: Eukaryota; Viridiplantae; Streptophyta; Bryopsida; Funariales; Funariaceae.